UUCCUUCAGUCUUUUCCUUCCUUACGGUACCCCAUUGGAGAAACAAGCCAUUUUCUCUCCUUCUCUUUCUUCUUUCUCUCUCUAAAAAAACUCCAUUGGGACAGGUAUAUCCAUUCUUGAAAAUUAUUUCUAGGGUUUUGAAUUUUAUCCCUGUAUCAGCACAACCAAAAAGGGGUCCUCUUUUCAUCAUCAAAGAAUUACCCACUUUUUUUUCCCUUAAAAAAUGACGACUUCUGCGGUGAAGAACAACUUCUUGCCACCGGGAUUGGUGUCAAAUCUUCAGGAAGUUCUUCUUAACAGAAAGGGUGGUGCCCAAAAUGAUAAAGAUCAGCAAUCGAAGCCUAAAGAUGAUGACCCAUCAACUCAGCCGUCGUCUUCCGACUCGGUUUCCGAUGCUGCUGCUGCUGAUGACGCCGACAGUUCAAAGCCAGUGGUAUUGGUUACUAACGCUGAUGGGAUCGAAUCUCCUGGUCUUACUUGUCUUGUUGAUGCUCUUGUUCGUCAAGGCCUCUGUAAUGUUAACGUCUGCGGUCCCCAAUCAGAUAAAUCGGUGGCGGGCCAUUCUUUUACACUUAAAGAAACCAUUGCAGUUACUCCGACUGACAUUCACGGUGCUACUGCUUAUGAAGUAUCUGGGACUCCUGUAGAUUGUGUGUCAUUAGCCUUGUCUGGGGCACUCUUUUCCUGGUCGAAGCCGGUCCUGGUAAUAAGUGGAAUCAACAGGGGUUCAAGUUGUGGCCAUCAAAUGUUUUACUCAGGUGUUGUAGCUGGUGCUAGGGAGGCAUUGUUUAACAGCGUUCCAUCUAUGUCGAUAUCACUUGACUGGAGGAAUGAUGAAAAUCAAGAAAGUGAUUUCAAGGAUGCCGUGAGUGUUUGUUUACCAUUGAUAAAUGCAGCCAUCAGAGAUAUAGAAAAGGGAGCAUUUCCUAAAAGUUGCUUGUUGCAUAUUGGAGUUCCAAAAUCUCCUCUGACAAACAAGGGAUUCAAAUUGACCAAGCAAAGUCUCUGGAGCUCUAAGCUUUGCUGGCAAGCUAAAUCAUCCACCAGAAAUCUUGCUGCUGGACGUUUUCUUCCAAAUCAGCAAAGCCUUGGGAUGCAGCUCGCACAAUUAGGUCGAGAUGCUUCUGCUGCAGGUGCUGCUCGCAAAUUAGCUACACAGAGAAAGAACAUAGAGGUUGUUGAAUCUGUUGGUAUUGCAGGGAAAUCUGAUCCGGACAGGAAAGUCAAGUACUUUAGAUUGGAGUUGCUUGACAAGAAACAAGAAGAAGAAGACGAGGAUUUAGAUUUUAGAGCUCUCGAAAAUGGAUUUGUGGCAGUCACUCCAGUCUCUCUUGCGAUGCAUCUGGAAACAGAUGUUCAUGCAGCUGUGUCAGAGUGGAUUUCUUCUGCAUUGGAAAUGGAACAAUGAAAGAUGAAGCCAAUGUUCAUUACUGUUUGUUGUACAUCUUUAGAUGUCUUUGUUCAGGUGGGAGUUGGAGAAGCUGGAAAAGAACUUGAGUUUUCAUGGGCGCAAAACAUUGGUUGGAUUCAAGAGGCCCAAGACUAAGGCCUGGCUCAGGAUCUAUAAUAAUAUUCAAGAUUUUGCACUUAUUGCCCUAUGUUAGGGUAGUCUUUAAUUUUUUCUCAAGUAUUCUUAACUAUGAUCUAAUUGUGCCUUGUUUGGCAUAAGUUUAGAGAAUUUUUACCCCAUAAGUUCUGGAGGAAUAAGUUGGGCCUCAACUUUGAAACUAAGGCAUAAUUUAUGGGUUUGAACUUCAUAAGGUACAACUUUGUCUAGCGGACAAGUCCUUUCAUUUAU
RNA transcript from Solanum dulcamara, 1798 nucleotides. RefSeq lists it as uncharacterized. Lineage: Eukaryota; Viridiplantae; Streptophyta; Magnoliopsida; Solanales; Solanaceae. The transcript has 11 exons. The record is from RefSeq and is a predicted model, not a curated record.